ACAUUGGCCUUCAGGUGGACAGGAAGUCACAGUAAAGACCAAAUACAUUCUAUGUGUAGUACAGGUGUGUACUGUGUGUGUGUUCUCUCUCUGCAGGUCUGUUUGACACUCAUGGAAAAGUUCGUGAUCGUUGGACUCCAGCCGUCUUCCUCUUCGUCACUCUGGCGUCCAUCUCCGUUCUGCUGCUGGUGACCCUCGUGGUCAUCACGCUGAGACGUCGCGGUCUGUCUCGCCGUCCGUCUUCCGUCAGUGAUAAGGAGGAACUGCUUCCAGAACCAGACGAGCAGUCGUCUCUGGAGUCUCUGACCGUCCCAGAGAGUCCCAAACCGGACAAGGCCUGAGGAGAGGCCCUGCAGGGGCCCUGGGGCCCCACGAGGGGGGGGUCCAGAGCAUAGCCUGAGGCCCUGGUCUGAUCCUGCUGUAAUUCUCUUUAAUAAUAAUAUUAAUAACACAGAGCUGUCGCUGUGGUUUUGGGUUUAACUUUCCUCCUGUAGCUCAGCUGAUGAUGAUGAUGAUGGUUAUGAUUCAGUCUGACUUUAAUUAAACUGUCAUUAAUAAGUCAGACCUGUGAUUAUUAUUUUACUGUUCACUUCCUGUCUUUAAUCUGUAACUAAAGAGAUUUGUGUGUUUUUCUUAGUUCUUUUUAUAUCAGCGAUAUGAAGGUGUCACUUUGACCUCAGGUGACCUCUGGUGACCGCUGGUGACCUUAGGUGACCUCUGGUGACCUUAGGUGACAUCAGGUAACCUUAGGUGACCUCUGUCAACCUUAGGUGACAUCAGGUGACCUCAGGUGACCUCAGACAGAAGUUUGAUUCAUUUUUAUAUUUUAUACCUUUUAAACGUGUGAUCAUAUGAGCUGCACAGUGUCGCAGGGCAGCGUCUUAAAAUCAGGAAGUGUCAGAGAAGCAGCAGAGAUGUUCAUUGAAGACUCCGUUUCCCAUGAUGCAACAUGAUCAAGUCUUUGAUUAGAGUCAGGUGACCUGUUACAGUCCUGCUCUAGGUCAGACGUUAACACGUGGAUCUUUAGUUUCAAUUUUAAAGUCGGAAUCUUUUAUUGACCCAUGGUGUGUUGAUCAUCAGCUUAAACUGACAUUACAUUUAUUUUGACUUUUGUCUGUAAAAUUCUGACGUUAAUGUGAACACAAGUUUUACUGUCAGUAAAUGUAAAGAUUAUUGAAUGAUAAUUUUGAUCAGAGUUUCAAAAAUAUAAAUAUUUGACUGUGUUUUAUUGAUCCUCAGUGAUGAUUUGUUAUUUUCUGACCUGAAAGAGAAGGACAUGAAGUUUUAGUGUGAAUCGGCACUUUCAGGUUUUCCUUCCUGUCCUCAGUCACACUUCCUGUUCAGAGACGUCUUGUCUGAUUUUAAUAUCCUCUGUUGUUGAUUAUUGAUUUUAAUAAAAUGAAGGUCUCACCUGUUUAUUCAAUAAAACUUUAUUAACACGUCA
Long non-coding RNA from Epinephelus moara (kelp grouper), 1444 nucleotides. RefSeq lists it as uncharacterized. The transcript has 3 exons. The record is from RefSeq and is a predicted model, not a curated record. Lineage: Eukaryota; Metazoa; Chordata; Actinopteri; Perciformes; Serranidae.